GAGCAGCCCCCCCGCGGGCGCGACAGCCGAGCGGCGCUGCCCCCCCGCACUCCGAGACCGCGGGCCCAGGGGCGCUGGCCGCGAAUUCGGCACCGCGGGGCACACGCCCCAAGGCCUGCCUUACCCGGACGGGAGGACAAGCGGGGACGCCCAGCACUCAAGGCUGACGCUCAGAGGCACUCGGAGCUCCCCGAUCCUCAGCUCCCAGCGAGGCCAACCGUGGGUCCCAAUUCCGGGCUGCAGGGCCGCGCUCCUCCACGCCGGCCUCCCUUGCACGUGGGAAACGCAGAGAGCCUGGGAAUUCCACUGACGCUGGCAUCUGUGAGCCGCACAAUGAAACCCCGUGUCUGAU
Long non-coding RNA from Canis lupus familiaris (dog), 352 nucleotides. RefSeq lists it as uncharacterized. The transcript has 2 exons. Lineage: Eukaryota; Metazoa; Chordata; Mammalia; Carnivora; Canidae. The record is from RefSeq and is a predicted model, not a curated record.